GCCUGGUUACCCUUACAAACACCAGUGCUAAAGAGCACGGUUACUAAUCUUUCCAGGACACAAGAUUUGAAAGCAUCUGUUUCGAAGGGAGAUGACCUGCUAGAGGAAGCUUGCGGGCAACAGCAAAUUGGGAGUUCGACUAGCACUUUCAGACUGGGAUGCAACGAAGAACUCGCCAGCAGAGGAUGAGCACAGGCAGGCCCCGCGCCUGCCCGGAGGGAGCUGUAAGCAGAGGAAGGUGAAGUGGCCUGAAGAAAUGUCUGUACUGGAGACAGUCGGGGCUGUGUGCCUCUGCCUGACGCAACAUCAUUUCAGACGUGGAGGAAGGAUCUGUUGGCAGAUCUUGGGACUCAAAUGGGCUGGACUUCUAAGAAAAAAUAUACCCAGGCCUCUCUAUUCCACCAAUUUUCAUUCUUUCAUACAUACAUAUUUAUUUAUUUAAACAGACUUUAUAUUUUAGGCAGUUUUAGUUCACAGCAAAUUUGAGCAGAAAAUGCAGAGGUCCCAUAGACUUCCUUACCCAACAUACCCACGGCCUCCCGCUCUGUCAACACCCUGCAGCUGAUUCAUCUGACAGUCGAUGAAACGAUUCACACAUCAUUAUCACCCAAAGUCCAUCAUCUACAUUACAGACUCUUGGUGUCGUACAUUCUGUGCGAUUUGACAAAUGUACAAUGACGUGUACCUGCCAUUGCUGUGUCAUACAGAGUAAUUUCAGCGCCUGAUAAUCCUCCAUGCUCCGCCUGCUAACCUCUUCCUCCCCCAACCCCUGGUCCCCAAGGCUUUGCUUUUUCCAGAGUGUCACAUAGUUGGAAUCGUACGGAACAUAGCCUUUUCAGAGCGGCUUCUUUCACUUAAUAAUACGCAUUUACCUUUCCUCCAUGUUUGUUCACGGCUUGAUAGCUCAUUUCCACUGAAUAAUAUUCCAUGGUCUGGAUGUAGCCAUUUUCAUAUAUUUUUAAGAAGACAGACUGUUUCAUGGGGCGACAUGAUUUGUUAAUAACUAGUAUUAUAAUUAAACUUACAAUAAAAGAAAUACGUGGCUUAAAUAAAACAACCGUAUAUCAACCCUAUCAAUACUGAGGCUAUGAUUAUCCUUCUGGUUGCAGUAAGUAAACUGAAGCACAGAGCAACCCUGAUUUACCCACAGCAGAUGGUCAGUGAUGUGAGGGCCAUAGGAAGAACAGAAGGGGCCGACGCGGUGGCUCAGGCCUGUAAUCCCAGCACUGUGGGAGGCCGAGGCGGGCAGGUCACUUGAGGUCAGUAGUUUGAGACCAGCCUGGCCAACAUGGUGAAAGCCCAUCUCUACUAAAAAUACAAAAAUUAGCUGGGCGUGGUGGCGUGCUCCUGUAGUCCCAGCUACUUAGGAGGCUGAGGCAAGAGAAUCGAUUGAACCUGGGAGGUGGUGGUUGCAGAGAGCCAAGAUCACAUCACUGCACUCCAGCCUGGGUGGCAGAGCGAGACUCCGUCUCAAAAAAGAAACGAGUAAUAAAUAAAUAAAUAGAAAUGUAAAAAUAAAGGGAAAAAAAAGCACUGAACUAGAAGGAAAGUGCACCUAGUCUACUUUCAGGGAAUCCUUCGGGCUCUGAGAGAAAUCUGACUCAAAAACUAAUUUUAGACCAGAAAUUCAACGCAGUAGUUGAAUUCAUACAACUCAGUAGUUGAGUUCAUACAGUUCUCUCUAGAAAAGGUCUACACACAACCAAAUACAAAUGAAGCUAAAUUUCCACAAAAAACAUUAAAGCUACAUCUAAUUUUUGAUGAAGUGUUGCAGAGACCACCCCCCACUUCCGUCCUAAUGGUUUGAGACACGUUUUCUUUUUUUUUUUCUUUUCUUUUUUUUUUUUUUUUUUUAAUAUACAGUAUCGCUGUGUCACCCAGGCUGGAGUACAGUGGCACAAUUUCGGCUCAUCGCAACCUCUGCCUCCUGGGUUCAAGCAAUUAUCGUGCCUCAGACUCCCAAGUAGCUGGGAUUACAAGCAUGCACCACCACACCUGGCUAAUUUUUUUAAUAUUCUUAGUAGAGAUGGGGUUUCGCCAUGUUGGCCAGGUUGGUCUCGAACUCCUGACCUCAGUUGAUUCACCCACCUUGGCCUCCCAAAGUGCUGGGAUUACAGGUGUGAGCCAUCACGCCUGGCCGAGACAUGUUUUCAAGCCUUGAGGUGCAUUCCAGUACACCCAGCUCACUUUGUAAUAUCUGAAUUUUCCUGAGUCAAGGUUUAAAUUCCACUUCAAUGAUAUGGGCCACAGUAGUAAAAAGUGUGGUGUUUGCAUCAAUGUCUGUGUAAGGACUCUACUCGAAUUAGGAUGAGCCCGUUGACAAUGGAGCCUGAUUUCCUGCAUUCAAAGUGUUAUCUAUACAGUGUCAUUCAUGUGAGUCCAUUAAUAGUAUUUGGUAAUGAGGAGGAGGGUGGGAAGGAUGGGAAAGGCAUUCCCGGGGAACAGCCAGCACCUUGGUUCAUGUGAGCUGCCCAGUGAUGCUGAUGCUAUAGCUUGACUAACACAUCACUGUUCCCAACCCCCUUCUCGCUUGCCAUCUCCACUCAGGAGGCUGGGAAAGCCAGAUGCACCUGGCCCAGUUCUACCAAAGGACACACACGUGCAUGCCUUCCAAAGGCCCUCGAGGAGAGGUCUUGCUUUUCUUCAAUAAGAGACAGAUAGGACUAGAAAUGCCCCUUCCCCUUCUUCCUACCUUGACUCUGGGUGUGAUUCCCAGAGCAGCGGCAGCCAUUUAUGACCAUGAGGUGACCAGCAACUUUUGAAGCCACUAGUAGCUUCCAGUAGGACACUGGAAAUGCCUAGAAUAUCAAUAAACCAAAGAAGACCAGCUAUGCUAUUACAACUAUCUCCUGGUCCUGCUACCUUCAGCAAAUAUAAUGGAACAAGACGUUAAAAAUGAUUCUGUUUUGGCUGGGCACAGUGGCUUACGCCUGUAAUCCCAGCACUUUGGGAGGCUGAAGCAGGCAGAUCACCCAAGAUCAGGAGUUCAAGGCCAGCCUGGGCAACAAGGCGAAACCCUGUCUCUACUAAAAUACAAACAUGAGCCAGGUGUGGUGGCACAUGCCUGUAAACUCAGCUACUUGGGAGGCUGAGGCAGGAGAAUUGCUUGAACCCAGGAGGCAGAGGUUGCAGUGAGCUGAGAUCCAGCCGCUGCACUCCAGCCUGGGUAGAUAGAGCAAGACUCUGUCUCAAAAAAUAAAAAUAAAAAAGAUACUGUUUCAAUUCUGGCAAAACUCCUGAGGCGGAAAACAAACCAGUAGGUGCCAACAACUCCAAUGUUCUGAAGUGAGGUACUGAACCAGCUCACCGGGGCCUGCAAAGAGGCUUCCGGGAACCUGUGACCGCCCCUAGGGCAGAAGGUGGCAAGGUCAAGAGAGGUUAGAAUGAGAGAUGACUUUUUGUUUGUUUUUUUUUUGAGACAGAGUUUCGCUCUUAGUGCCCAGGCUGGAGUGCAGUGACGCCUAUCUUGGCUCACUGCAGCCUCCACCUCCGAGGUUCAAGGGAUUCUCCUGCCUCAGCCUCCUGAGUAGCUGGGAUUACAGGCGGCUGCCACCACGCCUAGCUAAUUUUUUCGUAUUUUUAGUAGAGACGAGGUUUCACCAUGUUGGCCAGGCUGGUCUCAAACUCUUGACCUCCUGACGGGUGAUCCGCCUGUCUCAGCCUCCCAAAAUGCUGAGAUUGCAGGCGUGAGUCACUGCGCCUGGCCGACAGAACUUCUUUUGAGACAGUGCUUGGAUGCUGGGGUACUUUUCUUCCCCAUCCCGUCCCUGCUGUGGAUGAAACAAGGGGGGCCUAGUAAGAAGGACUUCAAGGAGACCCUUCAGAGAGCUGUCAGAGGUACCCAAGAGCUUGGGGACCUGACAACUGGUGUCUGUCACCUGCCUGAGAAAUCCUAAAGGCAAGAAGACCUGAAGUCAAAACAAGAAAAGGUGAGGCUGAGUGCAGUGGCUCACACCUGUAAUCUCAGCAUUUUUGGGAGGCCCAGGCGGGAAGAUCGCUUGAUUGCAAGAGUUCAAGACCAGCCUGGCCAACAUAGCAAAACCCCAUCUCUACAAAAAUACAAGAAUUAGCCAGGUGUGGCAGUGCACACCUGUAAUCUCAGCUACUAGGAAGGCUGAGGCAUGAGGAUCAUUUGAACCCGGGAGGCAGAGGUUGCAGUGAACCGAGAUCGUGCCACUGCACUUCAGCCUGGGCAACAGAGCGAGACUCUGUUUCAAAAACAAACAAACAAAAAAAGAACAAGGAAAGGUGGCUUCCCUGGGGAGAGUGCCACCUCCUGGGACAAAGGAUGCAUGAGUGCUUCCCAUGGACUGGACACGGACCCUGAGAAGGAACUGCCCAGGGGGGCCACCAGGAGAAAUGGCUGAGCCAGGGAACCCAGGCGUCCGCUGAAGAUGUCCUCACCCCCUCAAGUGAGCAACACCCCAGCUUCCAGGAAGUCUCCAAGGAAUGCUUCAGCCCCUCACAGGAGAAAAAUUCGCUUGAAAUAUUUACACAGCCAAAGGAAAUGAUGGUGGGGGCUGACAGGGGUACCGCCCCUCCUCCCACUUCACCCUGCAGGAGUCCAGGCAGCCCAGGGAGUGGGAGGGAGGCCGGCAGACAGGAAGGCUACUGGCUGGGAAGAAUUUUAACUUCAAGGGGUCCCUGUCACAAACAGAGCACUGUGGACUUGAAGUGACCGGAGGAUUUUUCUUAUCCAAGAGCUGCUGGAAGGUCACAUGGCUGUGAGAGAUUUCAUCUUAGGACUGGGGGCAAACCAGCCCCCACCCCACCCAGCAAUGCAUCCUGCUGGAACUGGGAAGAUUGGCUCAGACUGAGUUCCAAACUACGUAUCGGCUGGUGAGAGAUGAACUGGGUCUUUGCACCAGACAAUCUUGUUGAAAAUCACCAGACCAAAAGUAGCUGAUGCUUAUCUGUCUCUGUCGAAUUCCCAGGAAUCCUGCGGGUGGCGGGGGCGGGAGGGGGGGUCUGAGCCCACGUGGGAAGCCUUGUUAGCCUGUGCCUGGGGGCGUCAGAAGAGGGAGAUUGGGCAAUUUCUGCUUCUUCACUCCCGCCACCCUCAUCUCGCUUGGGGCUCACUCUUUCCAAGUUCUCUUGGUCCCUUUGCCAAGGCAGGGGAGACCCAGCCAGGAUAUUUAUAGUGUUGGUACAUGACUGGGCAGCUAGUGGGAGCAGAUGUUUUCUGAUAUGGGCAAAGGGAGCUAUUUCUACUGGGAGCUGGAUGAAAGUUAGCCAGAAAGGAAGCCGCAGCCAUAACUGAUGUUCCUGUCCUCUCAACACUGGAGAAGGUACCCCACAUCCUUACAUGAGCGUGUUCCCCGUCCUCACUGCCUUAACAGCUCAAUCCAGGAGAUGUGGACUGUGCCAGGCGCUGGGUGGACACUGAGAUAAAUAAGACAAGGCCC
This 5405-nucleotide long non-coding RNA is filed under the name Homo sapiens (human). RNAcentral's name for it is "HSALNT0001465". Lineage: Eukaryota; Metazoa; Chordata; Mammalia; Primates; Hominidae. The record is from RNAcentral.